This 85-nucleotide transfer RNA is filed under the name Clostridiales bacterium. Its description in RNAcentral is "tRNA-Tyr". It matches the Rfam family "tRNA". Rfam says of the family: Transfer RNA (tRNA) molecules are approximately 80 nucleotides in length. Their secondary structure includes four short double-helical elements and three loops (D, anti-codon, and T loops). The record is from RNAcentral. Lineage: Bacteria; Bacillati; Bacillota; Clostridia; Eubacteriales.
GGAGGAGUACCCAAGUGGCCAAAGGGGGCAGACUGUAAAUCUGCUGGCUCAGCCUUCAGUGGUUCAAAUCCGCUCUCCUCCACCA